GUACAGAGGUCUCCUGUACAAGGUCAGGCUGCAGGACCAGGGCAGAAAGGCUGGUCUCCUGACUUGAGAGUGUCAGGGACAAGUGGCUCGUUCCCAGGGUCUGCUUCAACAAGACGGUUCCUGCCCAGUCCCAGGCCACUGCUGAGAUGGAACUGUGACAAGGCUGAUACCGAGGAGAGAAAUGCAGUCAUGGGUCACAGGGACUCACUGUCUGGGAGGGAGGAAGAACAUCCAUGCCAGAUAGAAGGCUGAUUAGAAAGACAUAUGGAGAGGAUGAGAGACGUGGAAGGAGGUGAGGACAAUGUUGUUACUGAUGGAGACAGUGAUGAGGAUGGC
This 336-nucleotide long non-coding RNA is filed under the name Capra hircus (goat). RNAcentral describes it as "lncRNA (ENSCHIG00000001201.1)". Lineage: Eukaryota; Metazoa; Chordata; Mammalia; Artiodactyla; Bovidae. The record is from RNAcentral.